GACGAACGCUGGCGGCGUGCCUAAUACAUGCAAGUAGAACGCUGAAGCGAGGAGCUUGCUCUUCUUGGAUGAGUUGCGAACGGGUGAGUAACGCGUAGGUAACCUGCCUUGUAGCGGGGGAUAACUAUUGGAAACGAUAGCUAAUACCGCAUAACAAUGGAUGACACAUGUCGUUUAUUUGAAGGGGGCAUUUUUCCGAUGCAAGCACGGCCUUUCGUUGUAUUGGUUGGUAGGUGAGGUAAUGGCGCACCUAGGGGACGAUACAUAGCGGACGUGGGAGGGUGAUCGGCCACACUGAGAGUGAGACACGGCCCAGACGCCUACGGGAGGCAGCAGUAGGGAAGCGUCGGCAAUGGGGGCAACCCUGACCGAGCUACGCCGCGUGAGUGAAGAAGGUUUUCGGAUCGUAAAGCUCGGUUGUAAGUCAAGAACGGGUGUGAGAGUGGAAAGUUCACACUGUGACGGUAGCUUACCAGAAAGGGACGGCUAACUACGUG
This 497-nucleotide ribosomal RNA is filed under the name uncultured bacterium. RNAcentral describes it as "partial 16S ribosomal RNA". It matches the Rfam family "Bacterial small subunit ribosomal RNA", at positions 28 to 507 of the family's 1533-position model. The record is from RNAcentral.